This 253-nucleotide ribosomal RNA is filed under the name uncultured bacterium. RNAcentral describes it as "partial 16S ribosomal RNA". It matches the Rfam family "Bacterial small subunit ribosomal RNA", at positions 524 to 776 of the family's 1533-position model. The record is from RNAcentral.
UACGGAGGGUGCAAGCGUUAUCCGGAUUUAUUGGGUUUAAAGGGUCCGUAGGCGGAUCUGUAAGUCAGUGGUGAAAUCUCACAGCUUAACUGUGAAACUGCCAUUGAUACUGCAGGUCUUGAGUAUUAUUGAAGUAGCUGGAAUAAGUAGUGUAGCGGUGAAAUGCAUAGAUAUUACUUAGAACACCAAUUGCGAAGGCAGGUUACUAAGCAACAACUGACGCUGAUGGACGAAAGCGUGGGGAGCGAACAGG